GACGAACGCUGGCGGCGUGCUUAACACAUGCAAGUCGAACGGAAAGGCCCUGCUUUUGUGGGGUGCUCGAGUGGCGAACGGGUGAGUAACACGUGAGUAACCUGCCCUUGACGUUGGGAUAACUUCAGGAAACUGGGGCUAAUACCGGAUAGGAGCUCCUGCCGCAUGGUGGGGGUUGGAAAGUUUCGGCGGUUGGGGAUGGACCCGCGGCUUAUCAGCUUGUUGGUGGGGUAGGGGCUUACCAAGGCUUUGCCGGGUAGCCGGCCUGAGAGGGUGAACGGCCACGUUGGGUCUGGGCUACGGCCCAGCCUCCUACGGUAGGCAGCGGUGGGGAAUAUUGCACAAUGGGCGGAAGCCUGAUGCAGCAACGCCGCGUGCGGGAUGACGGCCUUCGGGUUGUAAACCGCUUUCGCCUGUGACGAAGCGUGAGUGACGGUAAUGGGUAAAGAAGCACCGGCUAACUUCGUG
Molecule: ribosomal RNA, 468 nt
Filed under: uncultured bacterium
Lineage: Bacteria
Description: partial 16S ribosomal RNA
Rfam family: Bacterial small subunit ribosomal RNA
Source: RNAcentral